Long non-coding RNA from Sebastes umbrosus (honeycomb rockfish), 819 nucleotides. RefSeq lists it as uncharacterized. Lineage: Eukaryota; Metazoa; Chordata; Actinopteri; Perciformes; Sebastidae. The transcript is spliced from 8 exons. The record is from RefSeq and is a predicted model, not a curated record.
CUGAGGCGCAUUUAAGAGCAGUCGGAUCCGGAAAUCCCUCCUCUUGCCUCGGAGACACAACCAUGAGCAGAGAGGGAGAGAGAGAGCAGCCUCAUCACAUCUGAGCAUUAAGAAGACUGCAUCAUGUUUAAUCUUCAUCACAAAGAUGUGCAGAUGAAGAUGGCAAGUUUGACCUAUGAUUGGUACACCUGAUGAGGCCUACAACAGAUGGCCAAAUAUUGGCUUUCACCACAUGGACCUAAAGCUGCUCCAGAAGUUGUGCUGCGGUCACAGAAGAUGCACCAGCUGUAAUAUUUCAGAUGUGAAGUUGCCACUGCGUACUACAGAUGGCCAAAUAUUGGUUUUCACCACGUGGACCUAAAGCUGCUCCAGAAGUUGUGCUGUGGUCGCAGAAGAUGCACCGGCUGUAAUAUUUCAGAUGUGAAGUUGCCACUGCCUACUACAGAUGGACAAAUAUUGGUUUUCAACAUGUGGACCUAAAGCUGCUCCAGAAGUUGUGCUGUGGUCGCAGAAGAUGCACCGGCUGUAAUAUUUCAGAUGUGAAGUCGCCACUGCCUACUACAGAUGGCCAAAUACUGGUUUUCACCACGUGGACCCAAAGCUGCUCCAGAAGUUGUGCUGUGGUCGCAGAAGAUGCACCGGCUGUAAUAUUUCAGAUGUGAAGUCGCCACUGCCUACUACAGAUGGCCAAAUAUUGGUUUUCACCACGUGGACCCAAAGCUGCUCCAGAAGUUGUGCUGUGGUCACAGAAGAUGCACCAGCUGUAAUUUGUUUCCUGUGCUGAUCAGGAGCUGCUCCAGAAGUUGUGCUGUGGUGUUA